AGAGUUUGAUCAUGGCUCAGAGCGAACGCUGGCGGCAGGCCUAACACAUGCAAGUCGAACGGACCCUUCGGGGUUAGUGGCGGACGGGUGAGUAACACGUGGGAACGUGCCUUUAGGUUCGGAAUAGCUCCUGGAAACGGGUGGUAAUGCCGAAUGUGCCCUUCGGGGGAAAGAUUUAUCGCCUUUAGAGCGGCCCGCGUCUGAUUAGCUAGUUGGUGAGGUAAUGGCUCACCAAGGCGACGAUCAGUAGCUGGUCUGAGAGGAUGACCAGCCACAUUGGGACUGAGACACGGCCCAAACUCCUACGGGAGGCAGCAGUGGGGAAUCUUGCGCAAUGGGCGAAAGCCUGACGCAGCCAUGCCGCGUGAAUGAUGAAGGUCUUAGGAUUGUAAAAUUCUUUCACCGGGGACGAUAAUGACGGUACCCGGAGAAGAAGCCCCGGCUAACUUCGUGCCAGCAGCCGCGGUAAUACGAAGGGGGCUAGCGUUGCUCGGAAUUACUGGGCGUAAAGGGCGCGUAGGCGGACAUUUAAGUCAGGGGUGAAAUCCCAGAGCUCAACUCUGGAACUGCCUUUGAUACUGGGUGUCUUGAGUGUGAGAGAGGUAUGUGGAACUCCGAGUGUAGAGGUGAAAUUCGUAGAUAUUCGGAAGAACACCAGUGGCGAAGGCGACAUACUGGCUCAUUACUGACGCUGAGGCGCGAAAGCGUGGGGAGCAAACAGGAUUAGAUACCCCGGUAGUCC
RNAcentral lists this ribosomal RNA (742 nucleotides) under uncultured bacterium. RNAcentral describes it as "bacterial SSU rRNA". It matches the Rfam family "Bacterial small subunit ribosomal RNA", at positions 8 to 796 of the family's 1533-position model. The record is from RNAcentral.